UGCCCUGUGGUGUAACUGGUAACAUCCCUACCUUUGAAGUAGAAGAUUCCAGGUUCAAACCCUGGCAGGGCAG
This 73-nucleotide transfer RNA is filed under the name Nostoc sp. B(2019). Its description in RNAcentral is "tRNA-Gln". It matches the Rfam family "tRNA". From Rfam's summary of the family: Transfer RNA (tRNA) molecules are approximately 80 nucleotides in length. Their secondary structure includes four short double-helical elements and three loops (D, anti-codon, and T loops). The record is from RNAcentral. RNAcentral also lists the same sequence under 1 other name. Lineage: Bacteria; Bacillati; Cyanobacteriota; Cyanophyceae; Nostocales; Nostocaceae.